ACCGCUUUGUAUUUUCCUCUGCUGUCCC
RNAcentral lists this non-coding RNA (28 nucleotides) under Mus musculus (house mouse). Lineage: Eukaryota; Metazoa; Chordata; Mammalia; Rodentia; Muridae. The record is from RNAcentral.